CCAGGCGUAGAGCUGGUCAGCGACCUUCCCGAUCGCCGGGUCGUCGAGGUCAUCGGUCGAGCCGAUCGCCUCGU
This 74-nucleotide transfer RNA is filed under the name Mycobacterium phage Kashi_BG2. Its description in RNAcentral is "tRNA-Arg". Lineage: Duplodnaviria; Heunggongvirae; Uroviricota; Caudoviricetes. The record is from RNAcentral.